RNAcentral lists this ribosomal RNA (500 nucleotides) under uncultured bacterium. Its description in RNAcentral is "partial 16S ribosomal RNA". It matches the Rfam family "Bacterial small subunit ribosomal RNA", at positions 30 to 523 of the family's 1533-position model. The record is from RNAcentral.
AUUGAACGCUGGCGGAAUGCCUUACACAUGCAAGUCGAACGGCAGCACGGGGGCAACCUUGGUGGCGAGUGGCGAACGGGUGAGUAACACAUCGGAACAUGCCCAGUCGUGGGGGAUAACGUAGCGAAAGUUACGCUAAUACCGCAUACGAUCUAAGGAUGAAAGCGGGGGACCGUAAGGCCUCGCGCGAUUGGAGUGGCCGAUGCCAGAUUAGGUAGUUGGUGGGGUAAAGGCUCACCAAGCCAACGAUCUGUAGCUGGUCUGAGAGGACGACCAGCCACACUGGGACUGAGACACGGCCCAGACUCCUACGGGAGGCAGCAGUGGGGAAUUUUGGACAAUGGGCGCAAGCCUGAUCCAGCCAUUCCGCGUGCAGGACGAAGGCCUUCGGGUUGUAAACUGCUUUUGUACGGAGCGAAAAGCCUUGGGUUAAUACCUCGGGGUCAUGACGGUACCGUAAGAAUAAGCACCGGCUAACUACGUGCCAGCCGCCGCUGUAA